Molecule: ribosomal RNA, 498 nt
Filed under: uncultured bacterium
Lineage: Bacteria
Description: partial 16S ribosomal RNA
Rfam family: Bacterial small subunit ribosomal RNA
Source: RNAcentral
AUUGAACGCUGGCGGCAUGCCUUACACAUGCAAGUCGAACGGUAACAGGUCUUCGGAUGCUGACGAGUGGCGAACGGGUGAGUAAUACAUCGGAACGUGCCUAGUAGUGGGGGAUAACUACUCGAAAGAGUGGCUAAUACCGCAUGAGAUCUACGGAUGAAAGCAGGGGAUCGCAAGACCUUGUGCUACUAGAGCGGCCGAUGGCAGAUUAGGUAGUUGGUGGGAUAAAAGCUUACCAAGCCGACGAUCUGUAGCUGGUCUGAGAGGACGAUCAGCCACACUGGGACUGAGACACGGCCCAGUCUCCUACGGGAGGCAGCAGUGGGGAAUUUUGGACAAUGGGCGCAAGCCUGAUCCAGCAAUGCCGCGUGCAGGAUGAAGGCCUUCGGGUUGUAAACUGCCUUUGUACGGAACGAAAAGCCCCGGGUUAAUACCCUGGGGUCAUGACGGUACCGUAAGAAUAAGCACCGGCAAACUAUGUGCCAGCCGCCGCCGUAA